CUACGGGUCGCACCAGUGAGGAAUAUUGCACAAUGGGGGGAACCCUGAUGCAGCAACGCCGCGUGGAGGAUGACGCAUUUCGGUGUGUAAACUCCUUUUAUAUGUCAAGAAAAUGACGGUAGCAUAUGAAUAAGCACCGGCUAACUCCGUGCCAGCAGCCGCGGUAAUACGGAGGGUGCAAGCGUUACUCGGAAUCACUGGGCGUAAAGGACGCGUAGGCGGGUUGGAAAGUCAGGUGUGAAAUCCUACAGCUUAACUGUAGAACUGCGCUUGAAACUUCUAAUCUAGAGUAUGGGAGAGGGAGAUGGAAUUAGUGGUGUAGGGGUAAAAUCCGUAGAUAUCACUAGGAAUACCUAAAGCGAAGGCGAUCUCCUGGAACAUUACUGACGCUAAGGCGUGAAAGCGUGGGGAGCAAACAGGAUUAGAUACCCCCGUAGUC
This 439-nucleotide ribosomal RNA is filed under the name uncultured bacterium. RNAcentral's name for it is "partial 16S ribosomal RNA". It matches the Rfam family "Bacterial small subunit ribosomal RNA", at positions 339 to 795 of the family's 1533-position model. The record is from RNAcentral.